This 825-nucleotide ribosomal RNA is filed under the name Weissella cibaria. RNAcentral's name for it is "bacterial SSU rRNA". It matches the Rfam family "Bacterial small subunit ribosomal RNA", at positions 64 to 867 of the family's 1533-position model. The record is from RNAcentral. Lineage: Bacteria; Bacillati; Bacillota; Bacilli; Lactobacillales; Lactobacillaceae.
GAAGAGCUUGCUCAGAUAUGACGAUGGACAUUGCAAAGAGUGGCGAACGGGUGAGUAACACGUGGGAAACCUACCUCUUAGCAGGGGAUAACAUUUGGAAACAGAUGCUAAUACCGUAUAACAAUAGCAACCGCAUGGUUGCUACUUAAAAGAUGGUUCUGCUAUCACUAAGAGAUGGUCCCGCGGUGCAUUAGUUAGUUGGUGAGGUAAUGGCUCACCAAGACGAUGAUGCAUAGCCGAGUUGAGAGACUGAUCGGCCACAAUGGGACUGAGACACGGCCCAUACUCCUACGGGAGGCAGCAGUAGGGAAUCUUCCACAAUGGGCGAAAGCCUGAUGGAGCAACGCCGCGUGUGUGAUGAAGGGUUUCGGCUCGUAAAACACUGUUGUAAGAGAAGAAUGACAUUGAGAGUAACUGUUCAAUGUGUGACGGUAUCUUACCAGAAAGGAACGGCUAAAUACGUGCCAGCAGCCGCGGUAAUACGUAUGUUCCAAGCGUUAUCCGGAUUUAUUGGGCGUAAAGCGAGCGCAGACGGUUAUUUAAGUCUGAAGUGAAAGCCCUCAGCUCAACUGAGGAAUUGCUUUGGAAACUGGAUGACUUGAGUGCAGUAGAGGAAAGUGGAACUCCAUGUGUAGCGGUGAAAUGCGUAGAUAUAUGGAAGAACACCAGUGGCGAAGGCGGCUUUCUGGACUGUAACUGACGUUGAGGCUCGAAAGUGUGGGUAGCAAACAGGAUUAGAUACCCUGGUAGUCCACACCGUAAACGAUGAGUGCUAGGUGUUUGAGGGUUUCCGCCCUUAAGUGCCGCAGCUAACGCAUUAAGCAC